UAGACCGGAGUUAAAGUUUGGG
This 22-nucleotide small nuclear RNA is filed under the name Arabidopsis thaliana (thale cress). RNAcentral describes it as "snRNA_16986". Lineage: Eukaryota; Viridiplantae; Streptophyta; Magnoliopsida; Brassicales; Brassicaceae. The record is from RNAcentral.